Molecule: long non-coding RNA, 1049 nt
Organism: Prosopis cineraria
Lineage: Eukaryota; Viridiplantae; Streptophyta; Magnoliopsida; Fabales; Fabaceae
Exons: 3
Source: RefSeq, a predicted model, not a curated record
CUUCUCUCCCUCUGUUCUUUCAGCCUUCGUCCUUGCCGUCGCCGGUGUGAGUGUGGGCCAGAGAGAAACUCGAGAGUUUUGGUCCUUUGUUCUUCUCCAUCCAUUCUCUUUCUGUGUUUCUAAAGUGUGCGAGUGAGAAGCUUGGCUGCUCAGUCCGUCGCUGAUGUCGGUGUUCGCUAUGAAUCCGCUACUGUCAAGACUCGAAGUUGCGAGUUCGUCCUUCAUGUAAUGGUGAUGCCUAAAUCUCUCCCCUAUUUUCUCGUUACUGAAUCCUCCUUUCCCAUUUUUCUUUGAUCUGUUACCGGUGCUCGAGUGAGAGAGGAACCGAAAUUCUUGAUCUCUUUCGCCUUCUCCUUUCCUUCCUCGAUUGCCUUCAACAUUGCGAAUGAGGUUGUGAGCUAGAACGCCGUCCACCGUUGCUGGAGAUCUAAUACAUGAUUUCUCCUACUCCUCUGUUUCGCGCCGCUCUCGGUGCUCUGUUUGGCUGGCUGUUGUGCAUGCAUGAGAAUCUCUUUCUUCCUCUUCCUUGUUCGAACAGCAGUGUACCCUUUUACAUUUUUGAUAUUAUUGAUCAAAGACCAUUCUUAUCUAAUAUUAAACGGUUUCCCAAGGUUUACUUCAAAAUCUCAGUGGCGACUCCCAUUUUUUUGGUCUUCUUCUUAAAGGCCGGAACUUUCGCUCUUGCGCCAUCGGCAUUGCAUUUUCCAGUAGUGUUUGUUAAAAACAAAAAAACUAUUUUUAAAAGCAAAAACCAAACAAGCCCGGCCCUAAUCACUUGAAGAGCAAGGAGUGGAGCAAGCACUAUCACAAGUCUAACAAGGAAUCUUCUUCUCCAUUAAGUAACAAAUCAUAUAUCCUUAUUGAAAUUGAUUCUUCUAUACGUACUACUUUAAUUUGUGUAGUGAGGCAAUUGAAGAUUCAUGUUAUGACAAUGUAGAUGAGGAAAUCAUAGUAAAAUCACCUUGGACGCUUCAACAUGAACCCCUUGAGCCUAUUGUACCUAGUAGUAAUUUAAUUUGUAAAAGAACAUGUUGUAUGUCCUACUCUCA